Long non-coding RNA from Lucilia cuprina (Australian sheep blowfly), 709 nucleotides. RefSeq lists it as uncharacterized. The transcript has 4 exons. The record is from RefSeq and is a predicted model, not a curated record. Lineage: Eukaryota; Metazoa; Arthropoda; Insecta; Diptera; Calliphoridae.
UAUCGUAACAAAAAAAUACAUUAAAAUUUUACUUAAAGUAUUUAAACGUUAGCUGGAAUCAUUAUAUUCAAAUUAAUACUUCUAUUUCACACAUAAAUUAUUUUGGCUUGGAUCAGGUCACUUGACACAAAAAUGUUCAUGAAAGAAAGCAGUAACCCCUUAUUAAAAUACUUCUAGCAGAAUUAAAAUGUAAAAAAGAGAUCUGGAAAUGUAAAAAAAUAGAUGUGACCGUUUAAACUUAAUGGUUGAAGUGUUGAGAAAAAUAUAAAAAAUUAAAAUUAGACCAAUAUAUGAGGAAAUAUUUGCCAUCAAUUGAUUUAAUAUAUCUUUCCCGUUUAGUUAAAAAUUGUUGAGAAAAAUAUAUGAACCAGAAAUUGGGCCAUAAUAUUGGGAAAUAUUUACAAUGAAUUUAUUUUAAAAAUACAUCGCUAUUGGAAGUAUUUUUGAAAAAUAAAAAUUUUCAAAAAUACUUCUAAUUGAUCACAAGAGGGUUAAAGACGCUAACAUAUAGUAGUAUAUAGGCGAAACUAAUUGUCAAGGACCUAAAUCCCCUGUGAAAUGUAUUAGUAAAAGCACAUAAAUAAACUCUAAAUAAAAAUGUAUUUUUUGACGUUAUUUUUGUGUGUGUUAUUAAUGGAAUUUUAUAUGCUAGUGAAUGAAAAUAUUAGUUAAUUAUUUUUGGAAAAGAUAUUUUAUCAUAAUACAUAUU